Molecule: non-coding RNA, 123 nt
Organism: Exophiala sideris
Lineage: Eukaryota; Fungi; Ascomycota; Eurotiomycetes; Chaetothyriales; Herpotrichiellaceae
Source: the annotation of a GenBank genome assembly
GGGUUGUUAGCUCAGCAGGUAGAGCGCCAGUGAUACAUAGACACGGUCUCGUUCCGGGGGAAAUCUCCAGGAUACGAGACCUGUCUACACUGGAGGUCGUGAGUUCGAGUCGCACACAACCCG